AACGGCUGGCGGCGUGCUUAACACAUGCAAGUCGAACGAGAAUCUGAGGAUCGAGGAUUCGUCCAAGUGAAGCAGAGGACAGUGGCGGACGGGUGAGUAACGCGUGAGGAACCUGCCUUUCAGAGGGGGACAACAGUUGGAAACGACUGCUAAUACCGCAUGAUACAUUUGGGUGGCAUCAUCUGAAUGUCAAAGAUUUAUCGCUGAAAGAUGGCCUCGCGUCUGAUUAGCUAGUUGGUGAGGUAACGGCCCACCAAGGCGACGAUCAGUAGCCGGACUGAGAGGUUGACCGGCCACAUUGGGACUGAGAUACGGCCCAGACUCCUACGGGAGGCAGCAGUGGGGAAUAUUGGGCAAUGGGCGCAAGCCUGACCCAGCAACGCCGCGUGAAGGAAGAAGGCUUUCGGGUUGUAAACUUCUUUUAAGAGGGAAGAGCAGAAGACUGUACCUCUAGAAUAAGCCACGGCUAACUACGUG
Molecule: ribosomal RNA, 477 nt
Filed under: uncultured bacterium
Lineage: Bacteria
Description: bacterial SSU rRNA
Rfam family: Bacterial small subunit ribosomal RNA
Source: RNAcentral